Molecule: non-coding RNA, 8817 nt
Organism: Oryctolagus cuniculus (rabbit)
Lineage: Eukaryota; Metazoa; Chordata; Mammalia; Lagomorpha; Leporidae
Source: RefSeq, a predicted model, not a curated record
AUGUCAGGCUCUUCCAUAGAGCUUAUCCACUUCUAACCAUUUCAUAAGCAUUAAUUACUCAUUCACUCUUCACAACUAUCAUCUUCAACAUCAUAAUCAUUAUCACCUUAGAGUAGGAAAACUCAAGAGAAAAGUUAAGCACAGUGCCAAACUCCCCAUUGUACUAAGUGGCAGAGUCUGGAACCAAAGCCAGUAGUCAAUGCUGUUAAAUGCUCCACUCUUUACUGUCUCUCAGUGACGGAAGCUACUAGUCAAAGAGGUAUACACAGGAUAUUUUCAUCAUUCUAUUCACCUCAAUGUAAACCUUUCAAGGAUAUCUAUUCCUCACAGAAAGUAAAAGCUAUGCUUGUAGAGUGAUAUUCAAGGUUUUUCAAAAUUUGACCUCAAUUUUAUUUCCCACUUCUCUCCUCUAUAUAAAUUGAUAAGUUUCUAAACCCUGAGAACUUGUAUCUGAUGCUAUUGUUCAUAUAAUUUUCUACAACUAAGUUUAUUUUCAUCUCUACAAACUCAUCUAUUAUUUUACUUCUUUACCUUUGUAAUACUUGACUUCUAAUCCCAGAUACAAGUGUUCUUUCCCUCUUACAUAACAAUGCAUAUGCAUCAUUCUCAUUUGCAUAUCCAUUCACUUGCUAUAUGCUACUUUUAAAAUACUUACUUCAUGAUCAUUUAUGUAUAUAACUUAUUGCCCUUAAAAGGCAUAAUCUCUUGGAAGGCAAGCAACGUAUAGUUUCCAUUGUAAUAUCUCCCAUGUGCCUGGCUUAGGUGCAUUAAGACUAUUAUGGAUUGAUUUAUUGAUAAGUUGAGUUAUUUAACCAAACUAAUGCUGGCAAUUUGAUUUUUACAAGAAAUUAUUGUGAUGAAGACAAACCUUGUCAGCCUGGCCCAUCUCUAGCAUUUGGGAGUGAACCAGUAGAUGGAAGAUGUUUCUGUGUUCCUACAAACAAAAUAUUUUUAAAAAAUCAUGAAUAUGAGGCCCGAGUUCCAAAGAGAGAUGAUCAGGCAUUGCAUGAUUCUCAAGUUACACGUUGGGGCUGGUAGCACAAGGUGAAACUGUAAUGGACUCCGAGAAACAACAAAAAGAAAAAGACAAAGAGGAGGACUAAGAAAGGAAUGAGGAGAAGGAGUAGGAAGAGGAGGGAAUUUGAAGAGGUGAGCUAAAUAAAUCUGAAAGGAUAUCAAUGUUGUGGAGGUGAAUAAUAAGCUUUGCAUCCAGAAAAGAACAAUACAUCUACCAAGCUCAUUCUCCAAUUUCUGGCAUGUUUUGUGGCUAUGGAAAUAACACCCUAAAGAAUCUAUAAAUUUUAUUCUCUAGGAAAAAAUCAUUAUGAAUACAGAAUGAUAUCAUUAUAGCUCAGAAUCUUCCAGAACAUGCUUAAUUCACCAUAAAAAUUCUUUGUCUGAGAGUGUACAUUUUGUCCUAAGUAGUCAUUGCCAAAGACAUAAUACUAGGCUUCAUAAGAAAUCUCACUAACAAGCACUUUUACUUUCAUCUUGGAAAAAGUCUAACAAUGUUGUUUGAGGCAGAGGGCUAUCAAUUAAGUGAAAGUAAAGAGACAUCAAAAUCAAACACUUUUAAAUCUUUCUCUAUUUCUGUAUGUCAAUAACAAGUAAUUUAAAAUUUUUAUUUACUUUUUUAUUAGAAAAUGUUGAACCAGAUGAUCUCUCAAGUCCUACCAAGCUCCAGCCUCUUCUGACAUUGUGAGAGUAGUCUUGGAGUUUUAUUUGUGAAUAUUGUUUGUCAAGAAUACUAAAUUCUAUGAAAAUUAUCAUAUUCCCUAGAUGAUCAUCUGCUAAAUUCUGAAGCUAUACCUUUUUUUGGAUUGGGAAGUGAUUUUAUUAUUUUUCCCUCAGUUUUAAAAAAAGUAUUAAUUAAUUUUUAUUCAUUCAAAAGAGAGGGAGGGAGACAGAGAGAGAGAGAGAGAAAGAGAGAGAAGACUCUCUUCUAUUUGCUGGUUUACUCCCCAGAUGCCCUCAACAACUUCUGAAACCAGAACCCUGGAACUCAAUCCUGUUCUCUCAACAGGUGACAGGGACUCAAGUACUUUGGCCAUUGCUACUACCCAUAGGUUGCACAUAGCAAGAAACUGGAAUGGGAGCAAAGCAGGAUUUGAAUCCAGGAAUGUGAUAUAAGAUACAGACAUCCCGAGUAGGAUCUUAACCUCUACACCAAACAUCCACCUCUUCCCCAGUGGUCUUAAUGUGAGACUGAACUAAUUGUGGAUACCUAUGGCCUAUUUGAAAUAGAGUUUGGAAUUAGUUUGGAAGGGGCUAGACAAAAAUUAUGAUGGGAUAGGGGCGGGGAGAGAUAGCACAACUUCCUAUCCCAGGGUGUAGUGUGGGUCACAUUGCUGAGGCCAGAGACUUGAAAACAGGAUGCCUACUCCAGUUCAGAGAAAGAGCUAGACAAAGCAGAGUUAUCCUUAUUUGCAGUCACUAGAACAUUUUUGUCCUGUUUUUUUACCAGCUCCCUGUCAAAGCUUUAUAUAUGGAGAUAUAAUGUCUCCUUACUAAUUUUGGUUUUGUAAAUGUUUCCAAACUCAUAUUUCCUAUGACACUUGAAAACAUUCUCUGACAACUGUAAAUCAGAGACAUUUGAGUUUUAUAGAUACUUUGUUAGACUAUGAACAUGGUCUUAUCAUCCUCUACUUUUUUUUCCCACCAAGGGUCAAGGCCUUCUUUGUUUUUCUUUUUCUAAAUCAGUUUGUUGAGGGCUGGUAUGAUAAUGAACUAUAAUGUAUGCUAAACACAUAGAAGACAAGGAUCACAGACAAUUUCUCCAAGGCUCAAAUAAAUUGGGCUGUGAAGGUUGAUGAUGGAAACUAUGGGGGAUAUUUAAAUAUUAAGUUUAUUCAUUUUGUUCUGAUUGAAACAAUCAAAAUAGAGCAUUGAGCCAUCAUUUCAGUGGGAGGUUAUAGUAGGUGACUGACUGAGAUGAUAUCAUAGUCCUUCAAGACUUCGCUGGGAAAUUACCCUAGGUGAUCUUAUUGUUCACAUGAUUUUUAAAAAGGCACAGAAGCACAUUUUCUAUAUAUAAUUGUCAGAGUUGCUGCAUGAUGUUCUACCUAAAUGGGAGUUGUUUAAUGCAGCAUUUAGACUCAUGCAUUGAGAACAAAGGCUUACUGUGGAUAACAUAAUAGCUUCCUUGGGAGACUAUGGUUAUUUAUAUCAAUAUGAUAAUAUAAGCCACAGAAAUCAGGCACAAACAGAUAAUAAUUCAGGAUUCUGUGUGUAGCCAGAAGGGUGAGAUACUUGCUCCUGUAUGUCCAGGGUAAAUAGCUGCCAUUCCUAGAGCUAAAUUAGAAAUAAUUUAUCUGUUCAGCGUGGUUUCUACAUGAAUAUCACAUAGGGUGUCUUUCAUUAGACUCCAUUGUACAUCUUGGGUUUAUUGUGGGGAGGGGUAUCUUUAACUUUGCUUUCUCUUCUUGGCCUUGUUUCUCUUCAACUCUCCCUCCCAUGCUUCUUUUCCUCUAUGUCUGUCUAUCUUUCUCUUCACUUACAUCUUCCCGUCCCAGACAACACUACCCUUAAUUCACAAAAUAAACCCUUGGAAAACAGCAUGAGAAAUGGAUGCCUUUCAUUCUCCUAGUUAGUGUUCUAGCUCAGAUACUUUCACUCACUCAUAUGCCUGACAUUCCAUGACGACUUGCCAUUUUAUAACAUGCAUACUGUGAGACCCCAUCAUCAUAACUUAACCAUGUAGUUCUGCUUAGUGGCAAUAUAGAGAAAUUAUUAAUUAGCUAAUUUUAUAACAGAACAUACAGAAUCUCCUUUAUAGCCUUAGGAAAAAGAUAAAACACUGGCAUUUACCAAUAUCUUAUGAAAAUAAGACAUUAAAGGAAAUAUUUAUAUCUAUAAUCUAUCUCUAUCAUCUAUCUAUCUAUCAUUUAUCUAUCUAUCUAGAAAGCUGAUAAUCACAGGAAUGUACAUAUGGGGAGAGUCAGACUGAGAUGCUGAGUUUAGGACUUUUAGAUGUAUUUUCUUAUGAUAGCUUUGUUUGUGACUCUUUAUAAAAGGUCAUUUGCAAGCAGGGCCCAGAUUGAAAAUUAUGGCCAAAUAAAUGAAAUGGGAAAUUAAUUUGUUUUAAAUGGUACUAGACAUUAUCAUAUACUUGUUCAGCCUAAUCAGACAAAUGGCUUCAAAUAAAGCUCAGAGACCUGCUAGAAAUAGGAACUGGCACACCCAUUGCGAGCAGACUGUGGACUCAGGGAGGAUAAAUCAGCAUGGCCAAGGAUAGCAAAGAGCCUGUGAGGAAAAAAGGGCAGAUUACUGCCUCCUCACACAGGGCACCAAACGAAAGGAACAGAGAGGAGACAAGGUACUAAUUUGCAGCCAUGCCAGAUUUAUCCAAAGAAAAUAAAUCUGCAGAGGUGGGUGACCAACUGCCAGCAUGCACACAGACUGAACACGUGGCAGAGGGCCCAGACCCCAGUAGGCUGGGCCUUUUUAUCUUGGGUGGGCUAGGAGUGAGGAAGGAGGGCAAUAGGUAGAGGUGAGCUUCCCCAUACAGGUUCUUCAGGUUUGGCCCACUGGCUUCCAAACCUGGGGACGAUAUAGGGGGUGGCCUGGGGAACAAUACAGGGUGUGAGACUGAACUGGUCUGUUGAAAGAAGGCAGGGUAACAAGACCUCAAAUGGCUGAGGUUAUGUCCUUGUUCCAUCAGAGCCUACUUGACAGAGCUUUGUUUUUUUUUUUUUUUUUAUUCCUUCUGAGUUUGAAGGUAAUUUUUUUUCUGUUUUUAAAAAUAACUUUACUGAAAUACAAUUACUUUAUUAUAAGUAACUUUAAAAGGUUCAUGGGAAGAGAAUUGGCAGGUUUAUUUUGGUACAAAAAUUUUGGAAACCCAUGUAUAGUAGGGAAAUGCAUAUCAUAAGAAAAGUACUAUUCACAGGUUUCAAAAUUUGUUUGUACCAAAAUAAAUCUGUCAAUUGCAUUCUCCAAAAGCUUUUUGAAGUACCUGCAUAAAAUGAACAGUUAUCAUGAUUCCUACCCCUUCGUGUUCACUUCUCAUUUCCCCUUCCCCCAAUUCCUAAGCAGCCACUGAUCUGCUUUCUGUCACUGUAAAAUAGUUUGCAUUUUCUAAAAUUAUGUAUGAACAAGAUCAUAUACUAUGUAUAUAUUUUUUGUUUGGAUUAUUUUACUCAAUUAUUUUGAAAGUCAUCUAUUCUAGAAUUAAUACUUCAUUUUUAUUGGUAAAAAAGUAUUUCAUUGCAUGAAUAAUCAUAGUUUAUUUACCCAUUCACCAAUCAAUGGACAUUUGAGCUGUAUCCAGUUAUUGGUUGCAAUAAGCGAUAUACUCAACUCUGUAUAUGGUCAUUUAUUCACAUUUUCUUGGUCAAAUACUUAAGUCCAUAUUUAAUUUUUAAAGAAAUAAUCAAUUUUACAUUUCCAAAAGAAGUAUAAGAGAGUUACAGUUAUUCUAGAACUUUACCAACAUUUGGUAUAGUCACUCUUUAAUUUUAGACAUUCUAGUUAAGGUACAAUAUUUCUCAUGAAAUCCUUGUUUUUAGUUUGUUCCUAUGAUGAAAUACAUUUACUGGCUUUUUUAAUUACACUGAUGCACUUUCCUAUUUCCACAUGCCCUCAUUUGGUAUGAAGUAUACUUUUUAUUUAGUUAGAUUGUGUUAAAAUUUUAGAAUGUCUAAAUUUAUGUUUGUAAAGGAUAUUGGUCUACAGUUGUCUUUUCUUAUAAUGUCUUUUAUUCUGGUAUUGAAAUCAGGAUAAUGCUGUAAACCCACCUCAUUGAGUUUGAAAAUAGUUCCUUAUUUUCAGAUUUGUGUUAAAAUUUGUGUAGAACAGGUAAUAUUUCUUAAAUGUUUGGAAGAAGCCAACAUUGAAGCCACUUGAGCUUAGAUAUUUCCUUGUGGGAUGAUUUUUAAACUAGAAAUUCAAUAUUUUUGAAAGACAGUCCAUUUCAGCUUGUCUGUGGUUUAUUUUUUUCUUGAGUUUUUCAGUGUUUUACAAGGAAUUUGUUCAUUUUACUUGUCAAAUUUACUGACAUAAAAUUCUCACAGUAGUCCUAUGUUUUCAUCAUAAAACCUUAGGACUUGAAAUGACAUUACUCUCAUUUAUGAUACUGGUAUUUUUGUCUCCAUUUUUUUCCUGGUCAGUCUGGCUAAAAGUUUAUCAAUUUAAUGAUAUUCUAAGAGACAACUUUUGAUUAUAUUGAUUUUUUCUAUCGUUUUCUAUUAUCUAUGAUCCCUGUUAUCCUGUUUCAUUACUUCUACUUUGUGUUUAUUAUUCUAUGUCUAGUUUCUUAAGGUAGACAUGGAAGUUACUGAUUUAAGACUUCUCUCUUCUAAUACAGACCUUUAGUUCUAUAAAUUCUUCCCUAAAUACUGUUUUAAUAAUAUCUCACAAAUUUUUCAUGCUGUGUUUUAAUUUUCAUUCAAUUCCAAACCACUAUUUUCCCUCUUUAUAUCGUUAACUAAUUGAUUAUUGCAAAGUUUUUGGGCUGGUGUUGUGGCAUAGCUGGUAAAGCUGCUGCCUACAGUGCCAGCAUCCCGUAUGUGCACCAGUUCAAUUCCUGGCAGCUCCACGUCCCAUCCAGCUCUCUGCUAAUAACCUGGGAAAGCAGCAGAAGACAGCCCAAGUCCUUGGGCAUCUGUACCCACCAGGGAGAAUGGAAGAAGCUCCUGGCUCCUGGUUUCAGAUCUGCCUCUCUCUAGCCAUUGCGGCCAUUCAGGGAGUGAACCAGUGGAUGGAAGACCUCUCUGUCUCUCCCUGUCUCUCUGUAACUCUUUCAAAUAAAACAAAUAAAUCUCCAAAAGCAAAAAAAAGUUUGCUAUUUAGUUUCCAAAUACUUGGGGAUUUUCCAGAGAUCUUUCUUUUAUUGACUCAUAAUUCUCAUGUGCUCACACAACAUAAUUUGUAUGAAAUUCCUUUUAAUUUUCUGAAGCUUGGUUUAUGGCCUAUGGUCUUGUUAGUAUGUAUUUCAUAGGCACCUGAAAAUUAUUUGUAUUCUUUUAAUGUUGGAUGGCAUGGCCUGUGAAUUUUAAUUUAGUCAAGUUAUUUGAUAGCAUUGUUCAAAUAUUUGUGUGCGUGUGUGGGGGGGACUAUUAAAUUCUUUUCUGGGGCUGGCAAGGCCAAUUGAGCUGCCACCAGAUGCUAGCAUCCUAUAUGGGCACCAGAUUGAGACCUGGCUGCUCCACUUCUGUUCCAGCUCCCUGCUAAUGUGUCUAGGAAAGUAGGGGAAGAUGGCUCAAGUAUUUACACCUCUGCAUCCAGGGAAACCUGGAAGAAGCUCCUGGCUCCUGGUUUCUGCCAGACACAGCACUGCCUGAUGCAGCCAUUUAGGAUUGAACCAGUGGAUGGGAGCUCUCUCUGCAACUUUGCUUUUCAAAUGCAUAAAAAACUUUAAGAAAAAAAAUUAUCUACUUGCUCUAUAAAAUGUUGAAAGACACUUAUAUCUCUCAUUGUAGUUGCAGAUUUGACUAAUUUUCCUUUUCAUUCUAUGAGAUUUUGCUAUAUGUAUUUUGAAACCAUCAUUAGAUGCAUAAAUAUUUAAGAUUAUUAUAUCAUCUAGAUAAUUUUACCCUUUUGUCAUUGCAAAAUGAUCUUUCACUGGUAAGAUAUUGUACUCUGGAUUUCCUUUGAUAUUAUUUAUAGCAUUCUGGAAUUAUUUUAAUUAACAUGGUAUGCUGCUUUCCAUCCUUUCACAUUGAUACUAUUUGUUUCCUUUAUAUACAAACUGUGAUUCUUGGAUGCCGUGCAUAUUUUGGUCUUACUUUUAUUAGACAAACAUGCUAAUCCUACUUUAAAUUGGAUUACUUAGAUUUGUUUUUUUAAUAUUAAAAAGUUUAAAUAUUUAUGCUUAAUCACAUUAUCCCUCUUAGUAUUUUUGUUUGUUUGUUCUACUUAAUAAUUUUGGCUGAAUACUGUAAUCAACACACAGUUAUUCUCAAGUGUAGAAACUUAACUGAAAAGUGAUCGCUGUUAAAUAUGAGUGAGAAUAAAAGAGGGAAGAGAUGUGCAAUUCGGGACAUGCUCAAGCUGACUUACCUCAAACAGUAGUGUUAGAAACAUACCAGGGGAUUCCAAUUCAAUCCCAUCAAGGUGGCAUGUACCAAGACCAUCUCACUAGUCCCAGUGAUCAAUUUCUGUUCACAAUUGAUCAUAAUGAUAGGACUAAGAGCAAAAGGGAGCACAUAAACAAGACUAGUGUCUGCAAAUACUAGCUGAUAGAAUAAAAAGGGAGAGAACAAUCCAACAUGGGAAGUGAGAUACACAGCAGACCCAUAGAAUGGCAGAUAUCCUAAACAGCACUCUGGCCUCAGAAUCAGCCCUUAAGGCAUGCGGAUCUGGCUGAAAAGCCCAUGGGAGUAUUACAGGCAUGGAAAGCCAAAACACUCUGGCAAAACCAAACCAAACCAAAACAAAACAAAAAAACCCUACAUGAAAGAUCUGUGCAAGUGAGAUCCCAGUGGAAAGAAUGGGGCCAUCAAAGAAGGAGGUACCUUUCUCUGAAGGGAGGAGAGAACUUCCACUUUGACCACAACCUUGUCUACAUAUGAUCAGAGUUGGUGAACUCAAAAGGCUUCCAUAGCCUUGGCGACUCAUGACAAGAGCCUAGGGUGAUUACUGAUGCCAUAAACAAGGCUGUCAAUUUGUUAAGUCAACAACAGGAGUCACUGUGCACUUACUCCUCAUGUAGGAGCUCUGUCCUUAAUGCAUUGUACAUUGUGAUUUAAUGCUAUUACUAGUACGCAAAGAAUACUUUACACUUUGUAUUUCUGUGUGGGUGCAAACUGUUAAAAUCUUUACUUAAUAUAUGCUAAACUGAUCUUCUGUAUAUAAAGAGAAUUGAAAAUGAAUCUUGAU